AUUGAACGCUGGCGGAAUGCUUUACACAUGCAAGUCGAACGGCAGCACGGGGGCAACCCUGGUGGCGAGUGGCGAACGGGUGAGUAAUACAUCGGAACGUGCCCGGUCGUGGGGGAUAACGUAGCGAAAGUUACGCUAAUACCGCAUACGAUCUGAGGAUGAAAGCGGGGGACCUUCGGGCCUCGCGCGAUCGGAGCGGCCGAUGUCAGAUUAGGUAGUUGGUGGGGUAAAGGCCUACCAAGCCGACGAUCUGUAGCUGGUCUUAGAGGACGACCAGCAAAACUGGGACUGAGAAACGGCCCAGACUACGACGGGAGGCAGCAGUGGGGAAUGUUGGACAAUGGGGGCAAGCAUGAUCCAGCAAUUCCGCGUGCAGGACGAAGGCCUUCGGGUUGUAAACUGCUUUUGUAUGGAACGAAAAGGCUCUGGCUAAUAACUGGGGCUAAUGACGGUACCGUAAGAAUAAGCACCGGCUAACUACGUG
This 484-nucleotide ribosomal RNA is filed under the name uncultured bacterium. Its description in RNAcentral is "partial 16S ribosomal RNA". It matches the Rfam family "Bacterial small subunit ribosomal RNA", at positions 29 to 507 of the family's 1533-position model. The record is from RNAcentral.